GCGGGUGUAGUUCAGUGGUAGAACGACAGCUUCCCAAGCUGUAUGUCGUCGGUUCGAGUCCGAUCACCCGCUCCA
This 75-nucleotide transfer RNA is filed under the name Anaerolineae bacterium. RNAcentral's name for it is "tRNA-Gly". It matches the Rfam family "tRNA". From Rfam's summary of the family: Transfer RNA (tRNA) molecules are approximately 80 nucleotides in length. Their secondary structure includes four short double-helical elements and three loops (D, anti-codon, and T loops). The record is from RNAcentral. Lineage: Bacteria; Bacillati; Chloroflexota; Anaerolineae.